This 383-nucleotide RNase P RNA is filed under the name Ignavibacteria bacterium. RNAcentral describes it as "RNase P RNA component class A". It matches the Rfam family "Bacterial RNase P class A". Rfam says of the family: Ribonuclease P (RNase P) is a ubiquitous endoribonuclease, found in archaea, bacteria and eukarya as well as chloroplasts and mitochondria. The record is from RNAcentral. Lineage: Bacteria; Pseudomonadati; Ignavibacteriota; Ignavibacteria.
UGUACAGUUCGGGACAAUCGCGCUGUUCCGUUAAGACGGAAUGUGAGGAAAGUCCGGACUCCGCAAACGGGCAGGGAUGCCGGGAGAAAUUCCCGGGUUUUAUGAAUGCAAAUUUAUAAAACAGAAAGUGUCACAGAAAAUAUACCGUCCCGGCAACGGGAUAAGGGUGAAAAGGCAGGGUAAGAGCCUACCAUUCAGAAAGUAAUUUCUGAGAUUGACAAACCUCAUCCGGAGCAAGACCAUGUAUAGGGAAUAGAAGCUCUGCUCACUUCACAUGUUCCCGGGGUAGGUUGCAAAAAUCCUGACAGUAAUGUCAGGAUAAGAUAAAUGAUUGUCACCGGUGAAAACCGGUACAGAAUCCGGCUUACAGAACUGUACAGAAU